RNAcentral lists this ribosomal RNA (464 nucleotides) under uncultured Mycobacterium sp. RNAcentral describes it as "bacterial SSU rRNA". It matches the Rfam family "Bacterial small subunit ribosomal RNA", at positions 107 to 585 of the family's 1533-position model. Lineage: Bacteria; Bacillati; Actinomycetota; Actinomycetes; Mycobacteriales; Mycobacteriaceae. The record is from RNAcentral.
UGAGUAACACGUGGGUGAUCUGCCCUGCACUUUGGGAUAAGCCUGGGAAACUGGGUCUAAUACCGGAUAGGACCACAUGCUUCAUGGUGUGUGGUGGAAAGCUUUUGCGGUGUGGGAUGGGCCCGCGGCCUAUCAGCUUGUUGGUGGGGUAAUGGCCUACCAAGGCGACGACGGGUAGCCGGCCUGAGAGGGUGUCCGGCCACACUGGGACUGAGAUACGGCCCAGACUCCUACGGGAGGCAGCAGUGGGGAAUAUUGCACAAUGGGCGCAAGCCUGAUGCAGCGACGCCGCGUGAGGGAUGACGGCCUUCGGGUUGUAAACCUCUUUCAGUAGGGACGAAGCGCAAGUGACGGUACCUAUAGAAGAAGCACCGGCCAACUACGUGCCAGCAGCCGCGGUAAUACGUAGGGUGCGAGCGUUGUCCGGAAUUACUGGGCGUAAAGAGCUCGUAGGUGGUUUGUCG